UACGUAGGGUGCAAGCGUUAAUCGGAAUUACUGGGCGUAAAGCGUGCGCAGGCGGUUAUGCAAGACAGGUGUGAAAUCCCCGAGCUCAACUUGGGAACUGCACUUGUGACUGUAUAGCUAGAGUACGGUAGAGGGGGAUGGAAUUCCGCGUGUAGCAGUGAAAUGCGUAGAUAUGCGGAGGAACACCGAUGGCGAAGACAAUCCCCUGGACCUGUACUGACGCUCAUGCACGAAAGCGUGGGGAGCAAACAGG
Molecule: ribosomal RNA, 253 nt
Filed under: uncultured bacterium
Lineage: Bacteria
Description: partial 16S ribosomal RNA
Rfam family: Bacterial small subunit ribosomal RNA
Source: RNAcentral